Molecule: long non-coding RNA, 452 nt
Organism: Triticum aestivum (bread wheat)
Lineage: Eukaryota; Viridiplantae; Streptophyta; Magnoliopsida; Poales; Poaceae
Exons: 3
Source: RefSeq, a predicted model, not a curated record
CGCCGCCGCCGCCGCCCAUGCCGGCUGCUUCCGGCGCCUCCGGCGCAGCGCGGCACGCCCCAAGCUGCCGACGGUCCGCGCCUCCCUCCCCUCCACCCAGACUCUCUGCUCCCGGCCUCUACAGCCCGCUCGCAACCACACACCCAUGGCUAGGGUUUCGGGCAUGGCUUCGCCGGCGUGUCUCCGGUGGUCCCAGUUGGGGCACGCCAUGGGAGUUCCCCAUCCAUCACGGUCGCCGUUGUCAAGGGAUUCUUCAAGGAGAUGUCAAGGACGCCAUGGACAUGCAGCUCCUCAAGAUCAAUUAAGGAAUCAAUCUCAUGAUGGUUGAUGCUUGAUGCAGCGGAGGAUUGGGCCUCGCAUUAUUUUUUCCAGAAUUGGGUGUGGGUACUCUCUAAACUGGAUUGAGUGAGCUAAAUCUGUGCAUCAAAAUUGUAGUCUGUAGCUUUAUGUGU